RNAcentral lists this ribosomal RNA (116 nucleotides) under uncultured gamma proteobacterium HF0500_05P21. The record is from RNAcentral. Lineage: Bacteria; Pseudomonadati; Pseudomonadota; Gammaproteobacteria.
CCUGGUGACCAUAGCGUGUAGGAACCACCCGAUCCCUUGCCGAAUUCGGAAGUGAAGAUGCACAGCGCCGAUGGUAGUAUGGGGUUUCCCCAUGUGAGAGUAGGACAUUGCCAGGA